This 528-nucleotide ribosomal RNA is filed under the name Pelophylax kurtmuelleri (Balkan frog). RNAcentral describes it as "partial large subunit ribosomal RNA". It matches the Rfam family "Bacterial large subunit ribosomal RNA", at positions 1910 to 2609 of the family's 2925-position model. Lineage: Eukaryota; Metazoa; Chordata; Amphibia; Anura; Ranidae. The record is from RNAcentral.
UGACAAAGUUUAACGGCCGCGGUACCCUAACCGUGCGAAGGUAGCAUAAUCACUUGUUCUUUAAAUAGGGACUCGUAUCAACGGCAUCACGAGGGCUAUACUGUCUCCUUUCUCCAAUCAGUGAAACUGAUCUUCCCGUGAAGAAGCGGGAAUUAUUGUAUAAGACGAGAAGACCCCAUGGAGCUUUAAACUCAAUAUAUACCUCUACGCAUUUAUAUCACUAUAGCCUAAGAAAAUUAUAUAUUAGUUUUGGGUUGGGGGGACCGCGGAGAAAAAAUUAACCUCCACGACAAAUAGGCCAACGCCUUUAUCUAUGAACCACAAUUCUAAGAAUCAAUAAACUGAUGUUUAAUGAUCCAAUUUUUUGAUCAACGAACCAAGUUACCCUGGGGAUAACAGCGCAAUCUACUUCAAGAGCUCCUAUCGACAAGUGGGUUUACGACCUCGAUGUUGGAUCAGGGUAUCCUAGUGGUGCAGCCGCUACUAAAGGUUCGUUUGUUCAACGAUUAAAACCCUACGUGAUCUGAU